UUUGUAUAAUGGGUCAGCGACUUAUAUUCAGUGGCAAGGUUAACCAUCUAGGGGAGCCGUAGGGAAACCGAGUCUUAACUGGGCGUUCAGUCUCUGGAUAUAGACCCGAAACCAGGUGAUCUAGCCAUGGGCAGGUUGAAGGUUGAGUAACAUCAACUGGAGGACCGAACCGACUAAUGUUGAAAAAUUAGCGGAUGACUUGUGGCUAGGGGUGAAAGGCCAAUCAAACCUGGAGAUAGCUGGUUCUCCCCGAAAGCUAUUUAGGUAGCGCCUCGGACGAAUACUACUGGGGGUAGAGCACUGUUAAGGCUAGGGGGUCAUCCCGACUUACCAACCCUUUGCAAACUCCGAAUACCAGUAAGUACUAUCCGGGAGACACACGGCGGGUGCUAACGUCCGUCGUGGAGAGGGAAACAACCCAGACCGCCAGCUAAGGUCCCAAAUUACUACUAAGUGGGAAACGAUGUGGGAAGGCUCAGACAGCCAGGAUGUUGGCUUAGAAGCAGCCAUCAUUUAAAGAAAGCGUAAUAGCUCACUGGUCGAGUCGGCCUGCGCGGAAGAUGUAACGGGGCUAAGUAGUAAACCGAAGCUGCGGCAAUGCACUUUAGUGCAUUGGGUAGGGGAGCGUUCUGUAAGCGGUUGAAGGUGUGUGGUAACGCAUGCUGGACGUAUCAGAAGUGCGAAUGCUGACAUGAGUAACGAUAAAGGGGGUGAAAAACCUCCUCGCCGGAAGACCAAGGGUUCCUGUCCAACGUUAAUCGGGGCAGGGUAAGUCGACCCCUAAGGCGAGGCCGAAAGGCGUAGUCGAUGGGAAACGGGUUAAUAUUCCCGUACUUCUUACAAUUGCGAUGGGGGGACGGAGAAGGCUAGGUGGGCCUGGCGACGGUUGU
Molecule: ribosomal RNA, 890 nt
Filed under: Vibrio alginolyticus
Lineage: Bacteria; Pseudomonadati; Pseudomonadota; Gammaproteobacteria; Vibrionales; Vibrionaceae
Also listed under: 1 other name
Description: partial 23S ribosomal RNA
Rfam family: Bacterial large subunit ribosomal RNA
Source: RNAcentral